This 1125-nucleotide long non-coding RNA is filed under the name Triticum aestivum (bread wheat). RNAcentral describes it as "long non-coding RNA (TAES_LNC015197)". Lineage: Eukaryota; Viridiplantae; Streptophyta; Magnoliopsida; Poales; Poaceae. The record is from RNAcentral.
CGGAACUCAACUAUCAUUGUCCUCGUUGAUCUCACCUGGUAUGUGAUGUGGCGGGGUGCAACCAUUGCUUAAGUACCCCGUGAAACUGAAAAUGAAAGUUUGACAUAGUAAAAUAUACCAAUACCCAAAUUUACCUAAAUCUGCCCCACGAGUGAUAUUUUUCUGUCAAUCACAAUCAUGUGAAACUAAAAACACCUAAAUAUAACCUGACAACUUAAAAUUUGCUCAGGAAAUGACAGAGUAGAUCAAGAAUCACCAAAACAACUCACCUCAGAUGAAGCACACAUCAAGGAGACAUGCUUCACCUCCAAUGAUCUACCUCUACCUCACACACAUCAUGGCUCCUCCUACAUCAAGCCAUCAUGGAAGGAAAAAUCUAAGAAUGUGCACUGAAAGUCUGAAACCUCAAGUAGUUUCACCUCGGAUAGCUUGCGGCUGGACCACGAACGUGAGCAAGAAGGUGGAAGCGUAACUUGGCUGGUGUGGGUGAGUUCUUCCAGGGCACGCCCCGGAGUAAGAAGACAGCAGAGAAAAAUCUUACCACCUGUGGUGGGCUCCACUGGCUGGCCACCGGCAUGCUUGUCCCAUCCUCCAUCAUCGAGUUGGUGACGAGAGAAUAGACGAGGCGAGUGAGGCCGGCGACGGCGAAUGGCCCCUGGCCGGCGGCGCCGCCUCCACGAGGACCAGCCUGCUCCUUCACCCUGUCCCCGCCUCAUCCCUCUUCCCUCUUCCCUCGAGCCUCCUGUCCCCGCCUCAUCCCUCUUCCCUCUUCCCUCGAGCCUCCUGUCCCCGCCUCUUCCCUCUGGAGCCUCACCCGCGACGGGCCGACAGCUGCUUGUCCUGGUCGCCCGCCUCCACUGCCCCUUCGCCCCACCACCGGGCUCGCCUAACUUGCGCCAGAUCUGGAACCAGGCGCCGCCGACGACCGGAUAAACAACGGAGAGAGGGAAGUCGAGGUGGGGAAGCAGCAACGGUGGCGGAGGAGGAGUAGGUGGCGGCGAGGCCCUGGUGACGAGCGGGGAGGAGGGAGGGGCAGUGGAUCGAGGGGAAAGUGGGAGCUAGGUUGUGCGGCGGCUGGUGUGCGAGCGAGAUUGGGUGCCUAGCGCGCGGACCAGAUUGGGCAAA